This 442-nucleotide ribosomal RNA is filed under the name uncultured bacterium. Its description in RNAcentral is "partial 16S ribosomal RNA". It matches the Rfam family "Bacterial small subunit ribosomal RNA", at positions 338 to 795 of the family's 1533-position model. The record is from RNAcentral.
CCUACGGGGGGCUGCAGUAGGGAAUCUUUCACAAUGGGCGAAAGCCUGAUGGAGCAACGCCGCGUGCAGGAUGAAGGCCUUCGGGUUGUAAACUGCUGUUAUAAGCGAGGAAUAUUGUCGUUACUUAUGAAUCAGGCUCCGCUAACUAACUGCCAGCCGCCGCGGUCAAACGUAGGAUCCGAGCAUUAUCCCGAGUGACUGGGUGUAAAGAGUUGCGUAGGUGGCAUAAUAAGUAGCGAGUGAAAUCUGGUGGCUCAACCAUUCAGACUAUUAGCUAAACUGUUAAGCUCGAGACCGUUAGGGGUAACUGGAAUUUCGAGUGUAGGAGUGAAAUCCGUAGAUAUUAGAAGGAACACCAAUAGCGUAGGCAGGUUACUGGGACGGUUCUGACACUAAGGCACGAAAGCGUAGGGAGCAAACGGGAUUAGAUACCCUUGUAGUC